Non-coding RNA from Labrus bergylta (ballan wrasse), 1713 nucleotides. The record is from RefSeq and is a predicted model, not a curated record. NCBI's taxonomy places the organism in Eukaryota, Metazoa, Chordata, Actinopteri, Labriformes, Labridae.
ACAGACAGGUAGAUGGACAGGUGAACAGACAGACAGGUAGAUGGACAGGUGAACAGACAGACAGGUAGAUGGGCAGAAGGACAAGCAGACAGAAAUGCAGAUGGACAGGUAGACAGGUUAGAACCGUUUCUGAAGAGAGAGACAUUGAGUCAACAGGUACGAGCAGACAGACAGGUGGGAGGCUGUCUGUGAGUCCUGACCUGGUGACUCAGACUGAGACACAAACUGAACUUGAUGAGUCGCGUUUUGAACAGCUGAUCGAUCAGCUGGUCAGAUUCUCCACAAGGAUCAAUAAACUGAUCAUGCUGAGAUCGUCCAAUCAAACGAGACCAGCACUCAUCACAGGUUUCAGGGCUCGCUCCUCACCUGAUGACCCAGAAGGGGGCCGGGCUCCAGCUCUCUGCCAGACGGUUGCCUCAGCUGCCAGUCGUCUGAUGUAGACCUCGUCAACGUCCAAUAAGAUGUUCUCUGGUUUGAUGUCAGUGUGGAUGAUCUUACACUUAGUGUGGAGGUAGUCCAGACCCUGUAAGACCUGCAACACACAGACGAGUCACUGUCGAGUCAACGAGUCACUGUCGAAUCAACGAGUCACUGUCGAGUCAACGAGACACUGACGAGUCACUGUCGAAUCAACGAGUCACUGACGAGUCAACGAGUCACUGUCGAGUCAACGAGACACUGUCGAGUCAACGAGUCACUGUCGAAUCAACGACGAGUCAACGACGAGUCAACGAGACACUGUCGAAUCAACGAGUCACUGACGAGUCAACGAGACACUGACGAGUCAACGAGACACUGACGAGUCACUGUCGAAUCAACUAGUCACUGACGAGUCAACGAGUCACUGUCGAGUCAACGAGUCACUGACGAGUCACUGUCGAAUCAACGAGUCACUGUCAAAUCAACGAGUCACUGUCGAGUCAACGAGUCACUGUCGAGUCAACGAGACACUGUCGAGUCAACGAGACACUGACGAGUCACUGUCGAAUCAACAAGUCACUGUCGAAUCAACGAGUCACUGUCAAAUCAACGAGUCACUGUCGAGUCAACGAGACACUGUCGAGUCAACGAGACACUGACGAGUCACUGUCGAAUCAACAAGUCACUGUCGAAUCAACGAGUCACUGUCGAGUCAACGAGUCACUGUCGAGUCAACGAGACACUGACGAGUCAACGAGACACUGACGAGUCACUGUCGAAUCAACGAGUCACUGACGAGUCAACGAGUCACUGUCGAGUGAACGAGUCACUGUCGAGUGAACGAGUCACUGUCGAGUGAAGGAGUCACUGUCGAGUGAAGGAGUCACUGUCGAGUGAACGAGUCACUGUUGAGUGAAGGAGUGUACCUGUUUGAUGAUGCUCUUCACACAGACCAGAGGCAGCCCCAUGUAGUUCGACUUGAUGAUCCACUUUAACAACUGAUGACCCAAAACCUCCAACACCAUACACACAUCUGAUUAUAGUUAAGGUCAGACAGACAGGUAGAGAGAUGGAGGCUGAGAGACAGACAGGCAGAGAGACAGACAGUUUAUCAGGAUACGGACUCCAUUCACUCCAGAGAUCUUGAAGUCGUCGAUCAGCUGGACGAUAGUUUCUCUGAAGGGGUCAGACGGGUCACUGUCUCUCACCUGCAGACAGACAGACAGGUUGCUCGGGUCACAUGACCUCCGCAGGCACAGAACAGUAACACGGUGGCGUGCAGGAGACUCACAC